UGCUCAAAUUGAGAAUAUACCAAAUGUCACA
This 31-nucleotide non-coding RNA is filed under the name Mus musculus (house mouse). Lineage: Eukaryota; Metazoa; Chordata; Mammalia; Rodentia; Muridae. The record is from RNAcentral.